AGCAAAGAAGACAGAGUGAGUUCGUCUGCCACGCUCGCCGCACCGAAGGAGCACCCCGUGAAGGCCUGGAUUAUCUUGCCGUUGCUAGUGGCCAGUGCGAAAACAUAGUGAAGGCCAACGUGUUCGCAAAGACGAAGCGGUGCGUUAUAUAAACGUUAAAAUCGAUUGUCCUCGAAAUAAGACCCCCUACGAUCGGUAGAAAAGGCGUUAGCUCUUUGCUGCCGCAAGAAAGCGCAUGAAGGAACAACAUAAAUUGAGGCAAAGGGGUAACCGUCCGGAUCGGUGCAAUCGGAUAAGCUAAGCAGGCAAAAGUAGCGCCAAAAAAGGCAAAAGCAGCGAACUCGGGUGGGGUAACAGCACCGAACGUAAGAAGCAAGGCUUCGCAUAGCCAAGUGAGCGAAUCAAGGCAGGAAACGCAGGCAGCGAAGCGGAUAAUCCGGAAAGAAAAGGCUUGAGUCUGAGGGCGCUGUUCACGCUCCAAGGUGUCCAAAUUUCACCGGAAGAAUCGAACGGAGUCGAAAUUCCGACCAAGAGAGCCUCCACUAGGAGGCUCUUGUUUCUGGUUUUGGCUUCGUUUGAGUCAACGUGCGGUCGAAAGUGCUCCAAGGCACGGUCGUAGGAGCGAUCUAAGGUGUGGACUAGUCGGCAGGCCGCCUCCCCCUCCCCAACCAGUACUUC
Molecule: long non-coding RNA, 678 nt
Organism: Armigeres subalbatus
Lineage: Eukaryota; Metazoa; Arthropoda; Insecta; Diptera; Culicidae
Exons: 4
Source: RefSeq, a predicted model, not a curated record